Bombyx mori (domestic silkworm) is the source of this 84-nucleotide non-coding RNA. Lineage: Eukaryota; Metazoa; Arthropoda; Insecta; Lepidoptera; Bombycidae. The record is from Rfam.
CUAACUCAAAUUUGUAUAGAGUUGGAACGUUUGCCUACGUUUGCCGCUAGGGGUACUGUUCUAACUGCAUACAAAGUUAACUUU